CAAACUACACUUACUUCCCUUUUGGGGAAGGUCCUCGUAUGUGCAUAGGAAUGCGGUUCGGGCUGAUGCAGGUCAAGGCGGGACUGAUACACGUGCUCUCCAGUUACGAGGUGGCGCCUUGCAAAGAAACUCCUGUGCCUGUCGUCUAUGACCCCAAAUCCUUUUUGCUGCUGACCCAAGGGAAGAUGCCGCUGUCCUUCAAACGCAUUUAAGUUUCGUCUUUGGUCAUGAAUCACUCGUUUUUUACAAUUAAGACGAAAAUAAGUGGACGACAAAAUGUGGUUCUCUUUAAUUCUAUAUUAAAAGUUUGCUUUUCUGUCGCCCUGUGCAAUUAAUAUAGACGAAAUUACAGUUAAUGAACUAACCACCAGAAGCUUCGAUGUCUGCUUCUCUAUUUCUGUGAUGUACAUUGACAUGUGCGAAGUGUGUGAAAAUUGCUAUUUACGUGUGUUUUUAUUCAUGCUUAAGAAGAUGGAAAUAAAAAUAACAUUUCUGCAUUUA
Non-coding RNA from Zootermopsis nevadensis, 501 nucleotides. The record is from RefSeq and is a predicted model, not a curated record. NCBI's taxonomy places the organism in Eukaryota, Metazoa, Arthropoda, Insecta, Blattodea, Termopsidae.